Molecule: non-coding RNA, 564 nt
Organism: Melozone crissalis (California towhee)
Lineage: Eukaryota; Metazoa; Chordata; Aves; Passeriformes; Passerellidae
Source: the annotation of a RefSeq genome assembly
AUGUACUGGAUCCGCCAGAGACCCGGGCAGGGGCCGGAGUUCGUGGCAGAGAUCAGCUACGAUCUUUCCAGAAAACACUAUGAACCAUUGGGCAAGGGCCAGGAGUGCGGGGGGCACCUCCAGCCCCCUGGGGGGUCCCUGACGUUGCUCUGCAUCGGCUCUGGGUUCACUCUGGCCAAUCACGACGUGUUCUGGGUGCGCCAGAGACCCGGGCAGGGGCUGGAGUUUGUCGCCCACAUCACCUACAAUGGAGGCUACACCAUCUACAGUCCGUCGGUGCAGGGUCGGUUCAGGAUCUCCAGGGACAACGGGCAGAGCUCGGUGACGCUGACCAUGAACAACCUCAAGGACGAGGAUUCCGGAUCCUAUUUCUGUGCCAGACGUCAUAAAUAUUGGGGUGCUGAUUAUGUUUUUAUUGAUGAUGCUCUCAGCGAUCCGAUGCCCUUGAUGCCCUGGAGUUUCCCCAAUUUUGCCCAUUUCACUCAAAUCUCCCCCAGCUCCCUGAACUCUGAUUGGCUGAUCGAGCACAGUCAGAAAUGGGAACUCUUGGAGAGCAAGGCCUGA